AACGAACGCUGGCGGCAUGCCUAACACAUGCAAGUCGAACGAGACCUUCGGGUCUAGUGGCGCACGGGUGCGUAACGCGUGGGAAUCUGCCCUUGGGUUCGGAAUAACUCAGAGAAAUUUGAGCUAAUACCGGAUGAUGACGAAAGUCCAAAGAUUUAUCGCCCAGGGAUGAGCCCGCGUAAGAUUAGCUUGUUGGUGGGGUAAUGGCCUACCAAGGCGACGAUCUUUAGCUGGUCUGAGAGGAUGAUCAGCCACACUGGGACUGAGACACGGCCCAGACUCCUACGGGAGGCAGCAGUGGGGAAUAUUGGACAAUGGGCGCAAGCCUGAUCCAGCAAUGCCGCGUGAGUGAUGAAGGCCUUAGGGUUGUAAAGCUCUUCUACCAGGGAUGAUAAUGACAGUACCUGGAGAAUAAGCUCCGGCUAACUCCGUG
RNAcentral lists this ribosomal RNA (433 nucleotides) under uncultured bacterium. Its description in RNAcentral is "bacterial SSU rRNA". It matches the Rfam family "Bacterial small subunit ribosomal RNA", at positions 29 to 507 of the family's 1533-position model. The record is from RNAcentral.